GCCAGACUCCUACGGGAGGCAGCAGUGGGGGAUAUUGCACAAUGGGGGGAACCCUGAUGCAGCGACGCCGCGUGAGUGAAGAAGUAUUUCGGUAUGUAAAGCUCUAUCAGCAGGGAAGAAAAUGACGGUACCUGACUAAGAAGCCCCGGCUAACUACGUGCCAGCAGCCGCGGUAAUACGUAGGGGGCAAGCGUUAUCCGGAUUUACUGGGUGUAAAGGGAGCGUAGACGGCAAUGCAAGUCUGGAGUGAAAGCCCAAGGCCCAACCAUGGGACUGCUCUGGAAACUGUGAGGCUGGAGUGCAGGAGAGGUAAGCGGAAUUCCUGGUGUAGCGGUGAAAUGCGUAGAUAUCAGGAGGAACACCGGCGGCGAAGGCGGCUUACUGGACUGUAACUGACGUUGAGGCUCGAAGGCGUGGGGAGCAAACAGGAUUAGAUACCCUAGUAGA
RNAcentral lists this ribosomal RNA (447 nucleotides) under uncultured bacterium. Its description in RNAcentral is "bacterial SSU rRNA". It matches the Rfam family "Bacterial small subunit ribosomal RNA", at positions 330 to 794 of the family's 1533-position model. The record is from RNAcentral.